UGAAACAAAAGCCAACUUUCUCUCUCUGUCUCAGCCUGGCUUCAUCUCAAGUGAACGGACAACAUAGAAGACACUCCUCCCAGUGUGUCUUCCUGUCUGGAGUGGGAGGACAGUUGGAGGUGGCUGUGUGUUUAGCUGAAGGGGAAAACCACCUGCCUCCAUCUCCUGGAGGAACACAUGGAACUCUACUUCAACCACAGCCAGCACUAUAGAGACCAUACAGAACCAAGACGGCUCCUACUCUGUGGAGAGACGGUUGGUCCUGCCUGACAGUGGCUCUGAUCUGUGCUGUCAUACACCCCUCCAGGGCAGAGAAGCAUAUUGAGACAAACCUGGCAUUUUGUGGGAAGAAGCAGUCUGGUAAUUUGGGGAUGGACAUCUCUCAUAUCCUUAAGAUUGCAGGCAUCUGCACAAUUCCCAUCCUCCUGACCAUGGCGUAUGUAGUGAGAGGAGGAUGCAAGAAACCAUCUCAGGAAUCAGAAGUGGAACUGAGUGAGCUGAGCAUACAGGAAGCUGACGUAGAACAACGAGGCAGUAUGUGUGAGAC
Molecule: long non-coding RNA, 547 nt
Filed under: Salmo salar (Atlantic salmon)
Lineage: Eukaryota; Metazoa; Chordata; Actinopteri; Salmoniformes; Salmonidae
Description: lncRNA (ENSSSAG00000093226.1)
Source: RNAcentral